GAUAGGGUGGCAGAUAGAAGUGUGGCAAAUUGUAAAUUUGUUAAUAGAGGUUAGAUUCCUUUUCUUAUCA
RNAcentral lists this transfer RNA (70 nucleotides) under Henricia leviuscula. Its description in RNAcentral is "tRNA-Tyr". It matches the Rfam family "tRNA". Rfam says of the family: Transfer RNA (tRNA) molecules are approximately 80 nucleotides in length. Their secondary structure includes four short double-helical elements and three loops (D, anti-codon, and T loops). The record is from RNAcentral. Lineage: Eukaryota; Metazoa; Echinodermata; Asteroidea; Spinulosida; Echinasteridae.